GCCAUGUCACCCUGCACCCUUGUCCUGCGUUAGUCUCAUCCAUAACAGCUCCUGUCGCCUGUGGAGGGGUGCACCAUCACCUGUCAGAAACGAGCGUAUCGUCAGACCCUCAAACACGGGUGCUUGCUGCUGGCUCAGCCUGGCCCUGGGCUGCCUGUACUUCCAGCCCCUCAAGGACAGGGGCACGCGACCACCUCACCCUGGGUUGUUGCAAAACACAGCUAUUCAUGGAAACAUUCAGUGCGCCUUGUCUAAACCACCACGUAAGGAUUAUGGCCGUGAUAUAAACCCAAGAGGGAUGUGGUUUCCCCAGGCUGGCAGCGCCGUGCAGCUCCCUGUGCAGCUGCGGGGAAUUAACGGAGGGAGCAGCAAAGCAAAGCAGCCGUCUGCGUUAUCUGCAGAUGCUGUUGAAAAUAGCACUGCCCUGGGAUGGCCUAACGGAGAAAUUUGUCCCCGUCACAGCAGAACCUUCAGAAAUGAGUCCUUGUCAAUUUAGCGGCAAAAUCCUUUCUCUGCUGUGUUCUGUGACAAAGGUGGAGAAUAAAUAUUCUGGGCUGGGAAUUGUACAGAAGGAGCCCUUAGAAGUUCUGCAGUCCCUGGUUUCGGGCCAUUAGCAAGGGGUUGUUUCAAGCUGUAAAAAAGGAGCGUAAAUAUUCCCUAGUUAAUCUCUCUUCUUUGUCCGGAUUCUUCUCAUGUCUCCAGCUGCUGCAUCCAUGUGCUUCCCCAGCUGGAAGGCAGCCAGGCGCAGGGCAGGCGAGUCUGUAAGCUUGCAGGUUCCCUCUCACAGUGUUCAGAAAGCAGGGAAAAAGCACUAGAGAAAGGCAGUGGUGGCUCUUCCCUGGGCUGUUCUGCACCUUUUUGGUACGCUGUUACCCCACAAGCUGAUGGUUACUAGCAUAAGGAUGGCUGUGCUGGUGGUUUUCCAUUCCUAGUGGAAGGGUGAGGUUUCUGCUUCUGGCUGGUGUAGUUCAUCACAGCUACUAGUAAAACCAAUGGCUGAAGGUCCUUGUACUCCACUUUGGCCCCGGUCCAAGCACUGCAUGUACUUACAUUGGCAUGCUGCAAUGUAGUAUAAACCUCUGAUCGUAAACAGAGGUUAGAUACAUACUGCUGAGACAACUGAUAACGGCCAGAAAUAAAACAAACCACGGUUUGUUGCUAUGAUGGUGCUUGUCUUUUGGAGGAGGAGGUGUCGCCUUUUUUCUGAUGCUGAUAACCUUCCCUGGUGGAGCAGCCAGCCCUUCUAGGAGAAGAAAUGUGACUGUCACUGUAUAGUAUCUCUGUCUCUCCUACUUGGUAUGUUAAACUGUGUAUAAAAGACUGCUUGUUUGUAUACUGGGCAAAGAUGCUAACUCCUUUGAAGUUGGUUGAAGGAAGGAUUUUACUUGUUAUCUUGUUAUCUUUCUUUUUAGUUGUUAUUUUACUUGUUAUCUUUCAGGCGGUUCUUGGCUAGGUCUGGAUGCACAAAACAUACGGACUCCCCAAGACCCUUCCUCCCCUCCCUUGCUCAUGAGGAAGAUGGACUUGAUGUUGUAGAAGAGCAUGUUCUCACACUGUAAGCAAGCUGCGGUGCUGUUCACAGCAGCAUGGGUCAGAGAAGCAAGUUUCAUUCGCUCUUGUCUAUGGCUGUUAUUCAGAGAGAGUCACGGACCUCAAUUUGCCAUUCAAAAAGCUCCUGUUACUCUUACUUUCUGCAAUGGAAGGAAUCACAAAAUAUCCCUAGUGCUGGACUAGAUGUUGUUGAUAUGGCUUCUCAGGGAACUCAAAGUCAAACCAUUCAUAAGGCUGAUGGCCAAGUCAGAAGCUCUGCUGGAGGCAGGACAAUGAGCUUUUCCCAUUUUUAUUGUCAGUGCUUGAUGGGAAAUUUCUCUAAUGUGGUAAGAAUCUGGACUGGAAGAGUUGGAAACAGUAAACUAAAAUAGGUGGCUUUGGGCAUCAGAUGAAGUAACGCCUGCUUGCAGUACCAGUGAAGCUCCUGGGAAACACUAGUUAAAAGGAACACGGAGAAAUGGUAUACCUGGUGUGUGUACCACAACCCUCCACCAUCACAACCAUGAGCUUCUGUAAAAUGGACUCAGCGAAACAAAACAGUCACCGGUAAAAACGUUGCUGGCAGAUCUCAUGGAGUUACUUUAAUUAUUCCGUGUUCCUGCUUUCAGCAGCUGAGGAUGACAAAUACGGUAGACCCGUCCUUCACCUCUUCACCUCCUUCCUUCACCUCUCAAGCAUUUUGUCUGAUCACACUUUUCUCCAUUUACCUUGGUGGCAGUGGUCUUGGAGCAGCCUGCCCACAGAAGAGGUCUGUGUGACAGAAGAGGAGUCACCAUUAUGAUGCACUCCAUGGGGUAUUUUCUGAGGGCAAGGUUGUGAUAACUUGCCCUGUCCCAGCUCCUGCCUUCUCCCCCCGUAGCUCUGCUGUAUGUUGUUGUACUCUCAUUGCCCUGUCAGCUGGCAAACCAGCCUUUUGCUGGGGAAUGGUGAGACUCUUCCAGCGUCCAGCCUCUGCAACCUCUGCAAGGUCUCUGUGUCCUGUCACCAAUGUGGUGUUCAGCAGUAGGAUGGUAUGAUCUUAUUUAUGGUCUGUUUUCGUAUUUCUGGUAAGAGGGAGGAUGGGGCCAUGUAAAAGUUAACUGUUGGCUACCUGCCUGAUGGACCUAAGGACUGAUCACGGUGGGUGUGAUUGGUUUUGGUUUAAACAAACAGAAUCUCUUAUGAAGGUUUUUGUAAUAGAUUUUAAAAUCAAAUUAAUUAAUUAAGUUCAAAGCGUAGUAAAUUCAGAACGCAAAUCUGAAGUUGAAGCAACCUCCUUUCCUCCUCACCCCAGCAAAAAAGACUAUCUGGGUUUGUAGACUGGAAGGUCACUGGUGGGUGACAAAGGAGACCUUUGUUCCGCUCGUGGCCACACUCCUUGCUCACAGGCUGACCUCCUUCGGGCCAGCUCCUCUCGCCCUGCUUGAAAAGGGAAUGUAACGAUGCUGACCUGUUUGCCAAAGUGCUUUGAGAUCUAUCUGUGAAAAAUUGCUGGGAGUGAGCUACCUUUGCAAACUUUGCAUGUUUCACUUUGGGACGCUACUUCAGCUUGGAAAAUAUUACUUCCUAAAUUUGGUGAGGUUUUAGCGUUUAUGAUUCAUUCACUGAGAAUUCCUGACUUCCCUAGCCUCUUCCCUUAUUUGUAGGUAUUUGCUGACUAGUUCAGUAAAUGGGCUGUUCUGAGGCUGUUUGCUGCACUUGACAUCACUUACCCCUCCGUGCGCCUGAGUCACGCACCACCAGGUCGUACACUGGCGUGUAUCAACUGAGAUAAGGCAGACGGAAGCAAAACCCCAGCCUGGAGCACAGCCUGCGGCCGGGCACGGGGUGGGGGGGUGGGGGGGGAUGGGGUCCAGCCCCCCUUCCCCACGCCUGGGCUCUGCCACUGUGUGACUCAGGGCUGGCUGAGCAGGCGGACGGGCUUCUGGCAGGUCACAGGCUCGGUAACAGCCGAGGACAAGGAGGAGCUGUUAUUCGGUGUGCACGCCGUAGUACUCUCCGUGCAGACAGGGGAUUUGGCACGUAAAGCCGUGAGCUAAGCACUGCGUGAAAGGUAACUGUGACAGAAGUACACCAAACACGUUUUGUCUGUGGUUACUUCCUUGAUAAAAUAAUCUGCAGACUGCGACAGCUCUUUCCUUUAGCCACUUUCCUUUCUCCCAUAGCUCCUAUUUUAAGAAUAUUCCUGUCCUGUAUUCUGAAAAAAAAAAAGUGUCUCGUUACUUUGAAGCCUCCUGCAAGGAACAGAGAUGCAGUCACAACCUGCUCAUGCUUUCUCAUAAACUGAUUUAAAACCUUGUCCGUGGCGACACUGUGGUCUCACCUGGUACUCAGCCUGAUGUCUUCCACGAAAACACACAGCUGUCCCUUAGUGGGAGACUAGUGCUUCGAUAAGGGGUCUUAAAUAAGGUGUCUUUUUAUUACUGUUGGGUUUUUUCUGAGUAAAGAAAGAAGCUUAUGCUGUGUGCCAUCAAUGACAUUACAAAGCAUGUAAUAUAAUGACUUGGUACUUUUUUUUUUUUCCGAUGAAAAUGUAGCUCUUUUUUCACUCUGUUUUUUAUGCAUUUGGGUUUGGGUUUUUUGUGGUUUUGUGUUUUGUUGGGGUUUUUUUUUUUGGUUUUUUGUUUUUUUUGCAAAAAAGGUAGCUCUAAGUUUUUUUCAGUCUGGUUAUUUCACAGCUUCAGAAUUUGUUGUUCAAGUCCCUGGUUACUACAUUUCCACAGCUGAAGAUAAAGACUUGAAACCCUGAAUCUCUUACAGCUCAGGAACAUGACAGAAGUUAGCCCCCCUAAAGGUCACAGACAGCUUGUUUCUGUGGGAGAGGAGGAGGUGAGGAGGAGGAGGAGGAGGUAGCCGAGCUGGCACGGGACAUGAGCAGCCAGCACCGCUGUCAGCGGGGCUGCUGGCACCCUGGGGCUCUUUGGAACAUUUUCUCUGAGUCUGAAUUCUUCCAGCCUAGUUUAGUCUUUCUGGGCUCCCUUAAAGGUCAGCUGAGAGAAAACAUUAAUUGUUUUUUUCCAGAGGGAGCUGCUGCUCUUCUCUAUCUUCUUUUUUUCUUUUUUUUUCUUUUUUUUUUUUUCCCUCUCUCUCCAUUUGGUGAUGCAGGGAAAGCAUCUAAAGCAUGGUGGUGUGAGAGAAGUUAGCUGCUUCGGCUUUCUGCCUUCCCCUGUAGUAAACUGUGUUCCCUGAAUGAACGAGCGAGGCUUAGUACCAAUUCUAUUCCCAACAGUCCUCAUACGCAACCUAAAAAAAACUCAAACCCCACACAUACCCCUUGUAGCCCACGGCUUUUUCUGGAGCUGAUGAAAAACAGAGCUGAUGUCAUGGGCUAUUUUUAUACAGUGAUGUCUAAAAUGCUUUAUUUUUGUAAUAGUGAACGACUGUACUAUACUUGUAAGUAGAUUAUUUCAAUUUUAUUGUUUCCAUUUACGUAAAUUGAAAAAUAUCAGAGCUGAACUCAGCAAGUCUUUUUUAUUAUUAUUUUUUUCCCCCAAAUUGCUUUUGAGUUGGUCAGCCCCACUUCCACCCCUGUCCUCUUUGGCUAAGUCUUGUCCAUCGGCAGACACCAACACAGGACAUCAGCCCUGUGUCCUCGUGCUGUCCUAGCAGCCGUGACAAGCUACCAAAACUUCACAGAGAAGUUCCUGAGGUGGUGGCAAAGAGCGAGAACCCAAAUGUCCAGCUUUGAUGUUUGAUGAGUAUUUGCCAUUAACCAUGUCAGAUAUAGGCUGGGUGUUUUUCCAGUUUUUGGGUUUUUCCUCCUUUGAAGCUGCUGAAGUGUUUGGGCAGCCAUUCUGUUUCCUGUCAACUCCCACUUUUACUUUUUUUCUUAAAAGUAAUAUUAAAAGCGCUUGGUUGGGUUUUUUUAAUUAUUUGUUUGUGCUUUGGGGUUUUUUUUUUGAGUAGCAGAGUCUUGCCUGCUGGGUUUACAUUUCUGCCAGCAAAGUCCCUGCUCCUGCCAUGUGCUUGACACCCUUUUGCUGCUCACUACCAACCCAGGUGGGCACAGCACAGCCUUACUCUUGGAGCCAUCCAUUAAAGUGCAUUUUUUGGCAAUUCAAGCAAAUCUGCAAAAUUGAAAAAUAAGAGUUCACACAAUGGAGCACAGGAUGCUGCUGAAUGCAGAGCUGUUUGGAAAAAGAAACUGUUUAAUGAAAGCAAUACAGGUUCUCUCCAUCCUUGCUUUCUAGAAAUCAAAUCAAGGAAAUAAAAAUAUUUUGGGUUUUAUUCAGGCCCUACUUUAGCUUAAGUCUGCCUUACCUGAGGGAAACAGGUGUGACUAAGGUGGUAGGCAAAGGGCUCUUUUCCAAAAGGAUUCAGGUACCUAGUGUCAGUCUAAGAUGCUUCUGUCUAAAUGCAGAUCUCCCAAACCUCUUUGCUGUCCUGGGGGACCUGAAAACCUAACUCCAGGCCUCAGCAAUUGUACCAGAGCUCUGCAUGAAAUGGUGGUGGCUGCUUUUUAUCUGCUUAUUUUGGAAAAGGGAGUUAAACCCAUUCAUCUCUCUUUACUGCCCAAGGCCAUUCAAAUUCAUGUAUCUCACUUCCCUGGAGAACGCCUAAGCAGCUAACUAGAGAGUGCCCUGGAGUAAAUGCUGCCUUUGUUACACCUCCUCCUGGUUUGAAGUAUAAUUAUGAAGGUAUAGACACACACACAAGACUGGCUGUGCCUGUGUGGUUGUUAAAUACUCGUUGUAGGCUCCAGUUCUUACUCCAAGGAUGUUAAGGUUUAUUUCUAUAUUUAUUUCUAUACGUCUAUUAUUCAGUGAAUUGUUCGGUUCAGAAAGGAACAAAGCUUAUUGAAUCUUCAAAAAAGCUUGCAUUAAUUCAUAUCCAACAUUUGGGUCCAUACACAAACACACGGACUCUAAAGGCCAACCUCCAUGAUAUAUAACUGAGCAAAACAUUUUGAAGCCUGCUGUGUGCCACCGCAGAGCCAGCGUGGGCGGUAAGCACCAGCCUGUGUAGCAAAAAGGAAACACUCUUGUUGCCUGCCCAGAGCAGGUGCGGCGUCAGGCUGGGAUGUUUUCAUAAACACAGUCUCAUACUUCUCGGUUACAUCUGUGUCAUUUAAAGAAAAAUAAAAGGAUAAUCUUCUCAUU
Falco peregrinus (peregrine falcon) is the source of this 6629-nucleotide long non-coding RNA. RefSeq lists it as uncharacterized. The record is from RefSeq and is a predicted model, not a curated record. Lineage: Eukaryota; Metazoa; Chordata; Aves; Falconiformes; Falconidae. The transcript has 2 exons.